GAUUAACGCUAGCGGCAGGCCUAAUACAUGCAAGUCGAACGGGACUUCGGGUAGCAAUAUCUGAAUGAGAGUGGCGCACGGGUGCGUAACACGUAUGCAAUCUGCCUCUGACUGGGGAAUAGCCUUCCGAAAGGAAGAUUAACACCGCAUAAAAUAAUGAAGUGGCAUCACUUUAUUAUCAAAACUCCGGUGGUCAGAGAUGAGCAUGCGUCCGAUUAGCUGGUUGGUGAGGUAACGGCUCACCAAGGCGACGAUCGGUAGGGGGUCUGAGAGGAUGAGCCCCCACACUGGUACUGAGACACGGACCAGACUCCUACGGGAGGCAGCAGUAAGGAAUAUUGGACAAUGGUCGCAAGACUGAUCCAGCCAUGCCGCGUGAAGGAUGAAUGCCCUAUGGGUUGUAAACUUCUUUUAAACGGGAAAAAACCCCUCUACGUGUAGAGGGCUGAUGGUACCGUAAGAAUAAGGAUCGGCUAACUUCGUGCCAGCCGCCGCAGUAA
RNAcentral lists this ribosomal RNA (500 nucleotides) under uncultured bacterium. Its description in RNAcentral is "partial 16S ribosomal RNA". It matches the Rfam family "Bacterial small subunit ribosomal RNA", at positions 28 to 523 of the family's 1533-position model. The record is from RNAcentral.